UUAAAAAGCUCGUAGUUGGACUUCUGCCUGAUGCCAUUCGUCCGCCCCAGUGGUGAGUACAGAGUGUGUAUCAGGCCCUUUCAAGGGGAACGUGUUGCGCUUAAUUGCGUGGCGCGCUAACCUUGACUUUUACUUUGAGGAAAUCAGAGUGUUCCACGCAGGCCAUCGCCUUGUAUAGCUCAGCAUGGAAUAAUAGUAUAGGACCUCGUCUCUCAGCUGUUGGUUGCAAGAAGCGAGGUAAUGAUGAAGAGGGAUAGUUGGGGGCAUUCGUACUGCAUUGUCAGAGGUGAAAUUCUUGGAUUUAUGCAAGACGGACUACUGCGAAAGCAUCUGCCAUGGAUGUUUUCAUUGAUCAAGAACGAAAGUUAGGGGAUCGAAGACGAUCAGAUACCGUCGUAGUCUUAACUAUAAACCAUGCCGGCUAGAGAUCGGAGGACGUUUUCCUUUGACUCCUUCAGCAUCUUAUGAGAAAUCAAAGCCUUUGGGUUCCGGGGGGAGUAUGGUCGCAAGGCUGAAACUUAAAGGAAUUGACGGAAGGGCACCACCAGGAGUGGAGCCUGCGGCU
Molecule: ribosomal RNA, 565 nt
Filed under: uncultured marine eukaryote
Lineage: Eukaryota
Description: bacterial SSU rRNA
Rfam family: Eukaryotic small subunit ribosomal RNA
Source: RNAcentral